This is a long non-coding RNA of Oreochromis niloticus (Nile tilapia), 1856 nucleotides long. Lineage: Eukaryota; Metazoa; Chordata; Actinopteri; Cichliformes; Cichlidae. The record is from Ensembl.
UUCUUGGGACUUGUUUAGCUCUGGGGGGGGGGUCCCCGGAGAUGCUAUGCUACUUCACCUGCUGUUUCACCUGCUCUUGUGCUACCUAAACUACAAGUGAGAGGUCUUCGUUUAACUUCAGAUAGACAUCCCUCGCUGGAGCCACAGCAGUACUCCUCCUGAGGAAAGUGGCUCCCACAGCGCCGUCAUAUGGACACUUCUAAACAACCUGUGGAGGGUGGCUGCGGUCCAGCCAUCCCCUGCACCCGUACCUGUUCCUCGAGUGGGGACAGCAGCUGCCCAGCCGUCGCCAGUGCCCAUUCCGGUUCCCAGGGCGAGGCUAGCCAGGGCACAGCCUACCUCCGCAACCGUACCUACUCCUCGGUGGGAGCAGCUACUGCCCAGCAGGCCCCCACACCUGUUUCUGUCCUCGCUCGAGGCUCAGCUCUCCAUCACACACCCACAUUUUGACAAAGUUCGAACCACUUCCUGAACCAGUCACGUGGUACAGCCGGGCAGCGAGGGUUCGGAUGUCAUCAUUUUCAGCUCCUCCCAUAAAUGAAGCAAGCCUCGAUACGUGCAUCGUGGAAACGCCCCCUCCAUUACUCGACACAAGCUUUGAAGCCUUGAUGCACAAUGUCACAUCACUACUGUCCAGCCUUCUGUCUCCACUGGAGGGCCCAGGGAGCCUGUCCAGCCAUCUGUUCCUGGUGGAGGGUCCGAGGGGCCCGUCCGGCCUUCGUCUGUUGUUCCCGCUGGAGGUUCUGGAGAACCGCUCCAGCCGUCUUCGGUCUCCGCUGGAGGGUCCGAGGGGCCUGUCCAGCCUUCGUCGCCUGUAGCGCCACCACCUGCUCCACCACCUGUGGCUCUCAUGCAGUUGCCUGCAGUUUCCUCACUGCCACCUGCAGUGCCACCACCAAUUCCUGCCUCGCCUUCCACCUGGCCGGCCUCCGGACCUGCUCAGUCGUCGCAGUUGCUGGCUUCACGGUCGACCUCCUGAACCGUUUUUUGGACUUCUGUGUUGUCGACCGCCGGGCUGGCCCCCUGAGCUACCCAGGUUUGCCUCAGACCCGGAGGCAACACAGAGCACAGAGGGACUGUGGCCACUUUGCCGCAACUCCCUGUGGCUUCUGCAUCGUGGCUGCUGGGUGACCCCCGCAUCUGGGACUCUCCUCAACUCUUUUCUACAUGGGUCGCAGGUGAAGAUAGUCCCCGUUCGGCAUAGGGCGCUCUAUAUACGCAAGUGUGCAGGUAAAACAAACAAGACUUCAAAAUAAAGACAAUAUCAGGUUAUCACUGUGUAAUAGGGAUGUUUUCUAUUAGUUAUUCAAACUUUCUUACCUUGUUUCACAUUCCCUAAUUGUUCCUGUAGCUGACUGUGGCUUUUACUCACUUCAUCAUAACGUCUCUGUAACUGAGUCAGGCUGGUUUUUGUGUCUUCAGAGAAAAACAGAUAAAAAUUAAGUUAAAAUAUUCAAAGGAUACAGCUAUCGUAUAAGAACUUAUACCCGUAUACUCAGUAUUUGCUCGCUUACCCUGAACUUCAGACUGUAGCCGACUGUAACUGCGACUCAGAAUGUUGUAGUUGGUCCGAAGUUCAUUGUGUUUGAUUUGAAGAAUGUCGUAAUUAUUCUUGUUAAAAGCCACUGAAAUACAACAUUUUAAAAAUUAAGAUGAUUGAAACAUUGAACAGAAAUAAGCGUCUUACUCUUUAUUGUUAAAUAUAUUAAUACGUAUUAGAAACUUGUUAUAUUACACACAGCAUAAGUGUCUAUGAUACAGUAACAGACUGAACUUUGACCCGUUGCUAUGACUGUCAUAGUUUUGUCAUUUUGUGUAACUGCUGUGUUUUUCUGUCCUUCAUGAAAAGCUCUGAA